This 253-nucleotide ribosomal RNA is filed under the name uncultured bacterium. RNAcentral describes it as "partial 16S ribosomal RNA". It matches the Rfam family "Bacterial small subunit ribosomal RNA", at positions 524 to 776 of the family's 1533-position model. The record is from RNAcentral.
UACGAAGGGGGCUAGCGUUGUUCGGAAUUACUGGGCGUAAAGCGCACGUAGGCGGAUGUUUAAGUUAGGGGUGAAAUCCCAGGGCUCAACCCUGGAACUGCCUCUAAUACUGGGCAUCUAGAGUCCGAGAGAGGUGAGUGGAAUUCCGAGUGUAGAGGUGAAAUUCGUAGAUAUUGGGAAGAACACCGGUGGCGAAGGCGGCUAUCUGGACCGACAUUGACGCUGAGGCGCGAAAGCGUGGGGAGCAAACAGG